CACAAAAGAUUUCUUUCGAAAAUAAAAAAUUGCGCUCAAACCCUGUAUUUCACUCUCUCCUUCCUCCAUCUUCUCCACUUUCCGUUUUUAGGUCACUUCUUCAACUUUACUCACACUACUCAGAAAAUUCACCGAAAUACCACCGAGGACCACCUGUUUGUCGCGUCUCUCUCCACCGAGGACCCACAAUUCCGGUGGGUGGCUACAUGUCGUCUGCAGCUCUCCUCUGUUCGUCGUGUUAGGGUUUCGUGCUUCCCCUUUUUGUUCUUCAGUUCACAGGAGGCUUCGGUGAGGAAACUAUGAGAGCAUUCGAUCACUUGAGAGACAGCUGCAGAAUCACCAAUAAUCUGUACAGUUGCUAAACCGAAUAGCAGUAACAGAACCACCACUGCAUGGCAACCGCUAUCAGUCUGGGGCAGACCUGAGUGAGAUUGGAGUAAUCAACUUCGCCAAAUGAAGUUGACCCGGUUUGACCAGGAACUAACCCAGAGUUCUAACUGCAACCCCAAUCCAACAGAACCAGCAACGUCCAAUGUGUGAACUGAGGCAACAUUGUAGCAAGCGUACCUGAAAUAAGCAACAUUUAGAACCGGCAGCAUUUAGAACCGGCAGCAUUCAGAACUGAGGCAACAUUCAGAUCGGCAGCAGAAUCACCAACAAUCUGUAUAGUUGUUAAACCAAAUAGAAGUAACAGAACCACCACUGCAUGGCAACCGCUAUCAGUCUGGGGCAGACCUGAGUGAGACUGGAGUAAUCAACUUCGCCAAAUGAAGUUGACCUGGUUUGACCAGGAACCAACCCAAAGUUCUAACUGCAACCCCAAUCCAAAAGAACUAGCAACGUCCAAUGUGUGAACUGAGGCAACAUUGUAGCAAGCGUACCAGAAAUAAGCAGCCUGUAAACCCACCACCCUCCCUGCAUCCUCGAACAAAAACCCAGCCUGUCGCUCCGGCCUCCUUCCCCCACCGCCACUGAGCUCUACCUUCUUCCAGAUGGAACUAAUUCAGGACUCAGCAGUUCUCGCACAGUAAGGUUGCCAGAUAUGCGAUUGCAUAUGUUGUACACAUUGUCGUGGCCUGAUAGCUGCUCUAAAAUAACUUGGCCACGCCUCAAUCUUUGCAAGUAUUCAAUAAUCCGAGGGAGCGGCCUUUCACCUUUGAGGAGAUAGAUGAAGUUCGAGAAAUGUUGGCAAACUUCAUUACCAGUGAUUGUCUUUGAUAUUUUCUUGUACUGAAUUUUAAAUUAUGGAUGCUAGUUUUUCAUAUGAUUGUAAUGUAAUCGACUUUUAUAUUUACAAUUAUAUACUAUUUAAAUUAAUUAUCUAUAUAAUUGGAUAAUUUUUAUAUGA
This is a long non-coding RNA of Spinacia oleracea (spinach), 1348 nucleotides long. RefSeq lists it as uncharacterized. The record is from RefSeq and is a predicted model, not a curated record. NCBI's taxonomy places the organism in Eukaryota, Viridiplantae, Streptophyta, Magnoliopsida, Caryophyllales, Amaranthaceae. The transcript is spliced from 4 exons.